RNAcentral lists this ribosomal RNA (301 nucleotides) under uncultured bacterium. RNAcentral's name for it is "partial 16S ribosomal RNA". It matches the Rfam family "Bacterial small subunit ribosomal RNA", at positions 509 to 807 of the family's 1533-position model. The record is from RNAcentral.
CAGCAGCCGCGGGAAUACGAAGGGUGCAAGCGUUAAUCGGAAUUACUGGGCGUAAAGCGCGCGUAGGUGGUUUGGUAAGAUGGAUGUGAAAUCCCCGGGCUCAACCUGGGAACUGCAUCCAUAACUGCCUGACUAGAGUACGGUAGAGGGUGGUGGAAUUUCCUGUGUAGCGGUGAAAUGCGUAGAUAUAGGAAGGAACACCAGUGGCGAAGGCGACCACCUGGACUGAUACUGACACUGAGGUGCGAAAGCGUGGGGAGCAAACAGGAUUAGAGACCCCGGUAGUCCCUGUCUCUUAUAC